This 484-nucleotide ribosomal RNA is filed under the name uncultured bacterium. Its description in RNAcentral is "partial 16S ribosomal RNA". It matches the Rfam family "Bacterial small subunit ribosomal RNA", at positions 29 to 507 of the family's 1533-position model. The record is from RNAcentral.
AUUGAACGCUGGCGGCAUGCUUUACACAUGCAAGUCGAACGGCAGCGCGGGCUUCGGCCUGGCGGCGAGUGGCGAACGGGUGAGUAAUACAUCGGAACGUGCCCAGUAGUGGGGGAUAGCUCGGCGAAAGCCGGAUUAAUACCGCAUACGACCUGGGGGUGAAAGCGGGGGAUCUUCGGACCUCGCGCUAUUGGAGCGGCCGAUGGCAGAUUAGCUAGUUGGUGGGGUAAAGGCCUACCAAGGCGACUAUCUGUAGCUGGUCUGAGAGGACGACCAGCCACACUGGGACUGAGACACGGCCCAGACUCCUACGGGAGGCAGCAGUGGGGAAUUUUGGACAAUGGGCGAAAGCCUGAUCCAGCAAUGCCGCGUGUGUGAUGAAGGCCUUCGGGUUGUAAAGCACUUUUGGCGGGAACGAAAAGGACUGUGCCAAUACCACGGUUCGAUGACGGUACCCGCAGAAUAAGCACCGGCUAACUACGUG